RNAcentral lists this transfer RNA (71 nucleotides) under Camelus bactrianus (Bactrian camel). It matches the Rfam family "tRNA". Rfam says of the family: Transfer RNA (tRNA) molecules are approximately 80 nucleotides in length. Their secondary structure includes four short double-helical elements and three loops (D, anti-codon, and T loops). Lineage: Eukaryota; Metazoa; Chordata; Mammalia; Artiodactyla; Camelidae. RNAcentral also lists the same sequence under 1 other name. The record is from Rfam by way of RNAcentral.
GGAUAUAUAGCUCAGUGGUAGAGUGCAUGCUUAGCAUGCACAAGUCCUGGGUUCAAUCCCCAAUGCCUCUG